Molecule: ribosomal RNA, 843 nt
Filed under: uncultured archaeon
Lineage: Archaea
Description: bacterial SSU rRNA
Rfam family: Archaeal small subunit ribosomal RNA
Source: RNAcentral
GGACCCCACUGCUAUCGGGAUGGGACUAAGACAUGUUAGUCGAGCGUCUCCAAGCUAUGAUGGAGGCGCGGCGUACAGCUCAGUAACACGUGGCUAACCUGCCCUUGGGACAAGGACAACCCCGGGAAACUGAGGCUAAUCCUUGAUAGGUGAGAACUCCUGGAAUGGAUUCUUGCUCAAAAGAUGCUUUGAUCAUGCUUCUAGGCAUCGCCCAAGGAGGGGGCCGCGGCCGAUCAGGUUGUUGGUGAGGUAACGGCUCACCAAGCCUCUGACCGGUACGGGCCGUGAGAGCGGAAGCCCGGAGAUGGGCACUGAGACAAUGGCCCAGGCCCUACGGGGCGCAGCAGUCGCGAAAACUCCGCAAUACACGAAAGUGUGACGGGGCUAUCCCGAGUGCCAUCCGCUGAGGAUAGCUUUUCCCCAGUGUAUAAAGCUGGGAGAAUAAGGAGAGGGCAAGCCUGGUGUCAGCCGCCGCGGUAAUACCAGCUCUCCGAGUGGUGGGGAUGUUUAUUGGGCCUAAAGCAUUCGUAGCCUGCUAGCCAAGUCCUCCGUUAAAUCCACCGAUUCAAUCGUUGGGCUGCGGGGGAUACUGUCUAGCUAGGGGGCGGAAGAGGCCGACGGUAUCCCCGGGGUAGGGGUGAAAUCCUAUAAUCCCGGGUGGACCACCAGUGGCGAANGCUGUCGGCUAGAACGCGCUCGACGGUGAGGGAUGAAAGCUGGGGGAGCGAACCGGAUUAGAUACCCGGGUAGUCCCAGCUGUAAACGAUGCANGCUAGGUGUUGGCGCGGCUACNUGCCGCUCCAGUGCCGCAGGGAAGCCGUUAAGCCUGCCGCCUGGGAAGUA